This 497-nucleotide ribosomal RNA is filed under the name uncultured bacterium. RNAcentral's name for it is "partial 16S ribosomal RNA". It matches the Rfam family "Bacterial small subunit ribosomal RNA", at positions 28 to 507 of the family's 1533-position model. The record is from RNAcentral.
GACGAACGCUGGCGGCGUGCCUAAUACAUGCAAGUAGAACGCUGAAGAGAGGAGCUUGCUCUUCUUGGAUGAGUUGCGAACGGGUGAGUAACGCGUAGGUAACCUGCCUUGUAGCGGGGGAUAACUAUUGGAAACGAUAGCUAAUACCGCAUAACAAUGGAUGACACAUGUCAUUUAUUUGAAAGGGGCAAUUGCUCCACUACAAGAUGGACCUGCGUUGUAUUAGCUAGUAGGUGAGGUAAUGGCUCACCUAGGCGACGAUACAUAGCCGACCUGAGAGGGUGAUCGGCCACACUGGGACUGAGACACGGCCCAGACGCCUACGAGAGGCAGCAGUAGGGAAUCUUCGGCAAUGGGGGCAACCCUGACCGAGCAACGCCGCGUGAGUGAAGAAGGAUUUCGGAUCGUAAAGCUCUGUUGUAAGUCAAGAACGGGUGUGAGAGUGGAAAGUUCACACUGUGACGGUAGCUUACCAGAAAGGGACGGCUAACUACGUG